GACUCAUUCGGGUAGCCGUCGUUGCCCUGGGAUACCAGGAGACGCCUUGUCCUGAGCGUCCUGUAUCUAUAGAGACGACAACAUGGCGGCGCUGUGAGUGCUGAGCGUUCGUCCCAGGGACUAGGGGAGCUUCGCGAGUGGCAAGGGAAGUUUGCAUUGCUUUGAUUCCGUCUGAACGCCCACUUUGCAACUGAAGGAGGCAAGACACGUUCAGAGGAAAAAGUAGAGAGUAAAAGCCAGAUCAAGGUAAUACCUAUGCUUCAGUGACACUCACUGGGGGCUUGCUGAGAGAUGCCACGUGUG
RNAcentral lists this long non-coding RNA (303 nucleotides) under Sus scrofa (pig). Its description in RNAcentral is "lncRNA (ENSSSCG00040014965.1)". The record is from RNAcentral. Lineage: Eukaryota; Metazoa; Chordata; Mammalia; Artiodactyla; Suidae.